GAUGAACGCUGGCGGCGUGCCUAAUACAUGCAAGUCGAGCGAACGGACGAGAAGCUUGCUUCUCUGAUGUUAGCGGCGGACGGGUGAGUAACACGUGGAUAACCUACCUAUAAGACUGGGAUAACUUCGGGAAACCGGAGCUAAUACCGGAUAAGAUUUUGAACCGCAUGGUUCAAAAGUGAACGACGGUCUUGCUGUCACUUAUAGAUGGAUCCGCGCUGCAUUAGCUAGUUGGUAAGGUAACGGCUUACCAAGGCAACGAUGCAUAGCCGACCUGAGAGGGUGAUCAGCCACACUGGAACUGAGACACGGUCCAGACUCCUACGGGAGGCAGCAGUAGGGAAUAUUCCGCAAUGGGCGAAGGCCUGAUGGAGCAACGCCGCGUGAGUGAUGAAGGUCUUCGGAUCGUAAAGCUCUGUUAUUAGGGAGGAACAUAUGUGUAAGUAACUGUGCACAUCUUGACGGUACCUAAUCAGAAAGCCACGGCUAACUACGUG
RNAcentral lists this ribosomal RNA (497 nucleotides) under uncultured bacterium. RNAcentral describes it as "partial 16S ribosomal RNA". It matches the Rfam family "Bacterial small subunit ribosomal RNA", at positions 28 to 507 of the family's 1533-position model. The record is from RNAcentral.